UUCAGAAUGACGAAGUAUUCGACGAUUGUCCGGAUCAACCAAAAGAAGUACUAAAUAUUCACGGCUUAGUUGAUCUUUCUGACAUAACUUUUUGUUCGGAGGGCGAAAAUGUUUUUAUAUCAGGUAAUUCAACUAUAGUGUGGGAUCUCCAGCCUACGGAUAUAAUUCAGGUACGAGGAGAAUUACUUCACUUUGAUCGUGGUUCUUGGCAUCCCACUUUGUAUGCCAUGAAUUUGCCAGAUUUUUGUUCUAUUAUGUGGGAUAAAAAUCAAUAUUGGUACACAUCAUGGCUACAAUAUGUUGUAAAUGCAGAUUCAGUAAAAGGAAAAUGCUUAAGAGAACGAGGAAUCAAAUUCGUUCACAAGCCAUUUAAUGUGGGAGCUAUGUUCGAAACGCACCUCAGCGAUAUGUAUGGCAGCUAUAAGGUGAGAGUAACCGUUAAAGCAUUAAAUCCGUUGUCGGGAAGAAUACGGCCAACGUCCAUAUGUUUUGAAGUCAAAGGAGAAUUCGAAAGAUUGUAAAAUUGCUUUGUCAAAGCUCUGCAAAUUUUCAGUAGAUCUAAUUAAAUGCAUUGCUGAUUGCAUUAGGCAACAGUCCAA
Molecule: long non-coding RNA, 599 nt
Organism: Drosophila innubila
Lineage: Eukaryota; Metazoa; Arthropoda; Insecta; Diptera; Drosophilidae
Exons: 3
Source: RefSeq, a predicted model, not a curated record